RNAcentral lists this transfer RNA (74 nucleotides) under Sphingopyxis bauzanensis. Its description in RNAcentral is "tRNA-Asp". Lineage: Bacteria; Pseudomonadati; Pseudomonadota; Alphaproteobacteria; Sphingomonadales; Sphingopyxidaceae. The record is from RNAcentral.
CCGCCGCCCUGCCCGGCGGGCGCCUCGCUGUCGGCGAGGCAGACGAUCGAUGUGUUCGACGCCGAUGCACCGGC